GGGUGAGUAAAGCAUCGGAAUGUACCGUGUAAUGGGGGAUAGCUCGGCGAAAGCCGGAUUAAUACCGCAUACGCCCUGAGGGGGAAAGUGGGGGACCGUAAGGCCUCACGUUAUACGAGCAGCCGAUGUCUGAUUAGCUAGUUGGUGGGGUAAAGGCUCACCAAGGCGACGAUCAGUAGCGGGUCUGAGAGGAUGAUCCGCCACACUGGGACUGAGACACGGCCCAGACUCCUACGGGAGGCAGCAGUGGGGAAUUUUGGACAAUGGGCGCAAGCCUGAUCCAGCCAUGCCGCGUGUCUGAAGAAGGCCUUCGGGUUGUAAAGGACUUUUGUCCGGGAGCAAAUCCCAGUGGUUAACACCUACUGGGUUCUGUUUGUACCGGAAGAAUAAGCACCGGCUAACUACGUGCCAGCAGCCGCGGUAAUACGUAGGGUGCAAGCGUUAAUCGGAAUUACUGGGCGUAAAGCGUGCGCAGGCGGUUGUGCAAGUCUGAUGUGAAAGCCCCGGGCUUAACCUGGGAACGGCAUUGGAGACUGCACGACUAGAGUGCGUCAGAGGGGGGUAGAAUUCCGCGUGUAGCAGUGAAAUGCGUAGAGAUGCGGAGGAAUACCGAUGGCGAA
This 620-nucleotide ribosomal RNA is filed under the name Chromobacterium haemolyticum. RNAcentral's name for it is "bacterial SSU rRNA". It matches the Rfam family "Bacterial small subunit ribosomal RNA", at positions 104 to 719 of the family's 1533-position model. The record is from RNAcentral. Lineage: Bacteria; Pseudomonadati; Pseudomonadota; Betaproteobacteria; Neisseriales; Chromobacteriaceae.